This 550-nucleotide ribosomal RNA is filed under the name uncultured Cercozoa. RNAcentral describes it as "SSU rRNA". It matches the Rfam family "Eukaryotic small subunit ribosomal RNA", at positions 595 to 1141 of the family's 1831-position model. Lineage: Eukaryota; Cercozoa. The record is from RNAcentral.
UAGCGUAUAUUAAAGUUGUUGCAGUUAAAAAGCUCGUAGUUGGAUUUCUGGUUUAGUGCGCUUGACCCGCCGCCGUUAGGCGUGUGAGUGUCGAUGCGCGCUUACCAUCCUUCUAGAGAACGUUUCUGCCCUUUACUGGGUUGGACUCGCAAUCUAGAACUUUUACUUUGAAAAAAUUAGAGUGUUUAAAGCAGGCUCGCGCUAUGAAUACACUAGCAUGGAAUAAUAACUUAGGACUUUAGUCUUAUUUUGUUGGUUUCUAGGACUGAAGUAAUGAUUGAUAGGGAUAGUUGGGGGUGCUAGUAUUCAGCGGCCAGAGGUGAAAUCCUUGGAUUCGCUGAAGACUAACUUAUGCGAAAGCAUUCACCAAGGAUGUCUUCUUUAAUCAAGAACGAAAGUUGGGGGAUCGAAGACGAUCAGAUACCGUCGUAGUCUCAACCAUAAACUAUGCCGACUCAGGAUGGGUGAACGUUGUACUUUCGACUUCAUCCGCACUGUAUGAGAAAUCAAAGUUUUUGGGUUCCGGGGGGAGUAUGGUCGCAAGGCUGAA